GUAGGGUGCAAGCGUUAUCCGGAUUUAUUGGGCGUAAAGGGGGUUCGUAGGGCGGGUUUAUUAAGUUUUUGAUUAAAGACCAAAGCUCAACUUUGGACAAGUCAAAAAAACUAAUAAACUAGAGAGUAUUAGGGAGUGCUGAACACCUAGUGUAGGGGUGAAAUCCGUUGAUAUUAGGUGGAACACCAAGGGCGAAGGCAAGCACUUAGGAUACUUCUGACGCUGAUGAACGAAAGCUAGGGGAGCGAAGCGGAUUAGAGACCCGCGUAGUCCUAGCCGUAAACGAUGUUCGCUAGCUAUCUGUUUUUAAAUAGGUGGCGCAAGUUAACACGUUAAGCGAACCGCCUGGGGAGUACGGCCGCAAGGCUA
RNAcentral lists this ribosomal RNA (369 nucleotides) under uncultured organism. RNAcentral describes it as "partial 16S ribosomal RNA". It matches the Rfam family "Bacterial small subunit ribosomal RNA", at positions 527 to 896 of the family's 1533-position model. The record is from RNAcentral.